Molecule: ribosomal RNA, 3294 nt
Filed under: Triticum aestivum (bread wheat)
Lineage: Eukaryota; Viridiplantae; Streptophyta; Magnoliopsida; Poales; Poaceae
Description: partial small subunit ribosomal RNA
Source: RNAcentral
AUGAAGCCGGUGCAUCUCCAAGACUAUUCCCUUCAGGCAAGCCUAGUUGCCCAAUAUGAAGGUAAGUUGACCAAGCUCAUUGAAUUUUAUAGGCAACGUGCAAAAAAACACUGGGCGACCAAAGGUGACAGGAACACAUCCUUCUUUCACAAUGCUGUUCAAAAGCGUAAGCGUCGAAAUCACAUAGUUUCUAUUAAGGACACUCAUGGUAAUAAUUUGUUUGAUCCAGAUGAUAUUGCCAAGGAGUUUGUUAAUUAUUUUAGAACUAUUUUUCGCUCAUCUUCUACUAAUAAUGACAGGCCCAGUUUGGAUACUACUUUGCCGCAAGAUACAAACGACUUCACCUACUCGAUCCCUGAUAAACAUGAGAUAUGGGAAAUUCUCAAAGGCAUGAAGAAGAAUGCCUCUCCUGGACCUGAUGGAUUCAAUGUGGGUUUCUACCUUUCGGCUUGGAGUUGGAUAGGAGAUGAUGUGAACAAUUUGGUAAGAAAUUUCUACACCACGGGUAUUGUUCCGCCUCAUCUCAAUGAUACUCAAAUUGCGCUCAUUCCGAAGAAACUUGCUUCGCAUCUGCCUUCUGACUUUCGGCCCAUAAGUUUGUGUAAUGUUGUUUACAAAAUCAUUGCUAAAUCUUUAGCCAAUAGGUUGAAAGGACAUUUGCCUAAUUACAUUCACCCCUCUCAGCAAGCUUUCAUUGAAGGUAGGCGCAUAAGCAAUAAUAUUAUUGUCGCCCAAGAAAUUGCCCACUCAUUCUCUCUUGCUUCUUGCAAGAGCCUUGAUUUUAUACUGAAAAUUGACCUUGCCAAAGCUUUUGAUAGAAUUGAGUGGCACUUCAUUGUCUUGGCUCUUGCUCGUAAAGGUCUCCAUGGCCAUUUCAUAAAACUUGUUCAUGCAUGCAUUUCAUCCCCAACGUUUUCAGUGAUCAUUAAUGGUCAAUCUUUUGCAAAAUUCAAUAGUUCCAGAGGCAUUAGACAGGGAUGUCCUUUGUCACCGUAUCUUUUUGUCCUUGCAGUAAAUGAGUUAUCUCUUAUGUUACAGGAUGCCUUGCAAGCUAAUCACCUGACAGGUAUUUCGCUUGGACAAAAUUGCCCUCCUAUUCACUCUUUGAUGUUUGCAAAUGACCUGAUUGUUUGUGGCAAAGCUAAUGUGCAGGAAGCUAAUACUAUUUUACAGCUUUUAGACCAUUUUUGUUGUGAUUCAGGGCAAACUCCAAACUGGAGUAAAUCUGGUAUCUUAUUCAGCAAUAAUGUUACGAUGCAGGUUAAACAAGAUAUUAAGAGAAUCUUUCCAGCUCCAGACAUCGACAAUUCUUUCGUCCAUUUAGGCCAUCCACUUGUUUUACCUUCUAAAGAUAGAUCAGCUGCUUAUAACUUUGUUUACGAUAAAUUCAAGUCCAAACUUAGCACAUAUAAAGCCAACAGACUCUCUCAUGCGGCAAGAUUAACUCUCAUAAAAUCCGUUUUCUCUUCCAUUCCUGUAUAUUACAUGUCCAACAUACUUUUUUCAAAAAAGUUCCUUGCUAAACUAACAACAAUCAUUAGGAACUUUUGGUGGACAGGUAUUCAAGAUGAUCAGACUACUAGAAGCUUGUGCCUUAGGGCAUGGGCUGAUGUAUGUAUUGAGAAGAAAAUUGGUGGUCUUGGUGUUAGAAAUUUGCAGGCAAUCAACCAAGGACUUGUUCUCUCGACGGCAUGGAGAUUGGCAAAAGAGCCGCAAAGUCAGCUAGCAUUGAUUCUCAAGGCAAAGUAUCAUCAUGAUACAUCCAUUUGGAGAGCCCGGCCGAACAAACCUAAAUCUGCCUUUUGGUCUGCAAUUCUAAAGGUAAAGCCUCUUCUAAUCUCGGCCACAAUUUGCCAAAUUGUUGAUGGUGCUAGUUCUAUUUGGAGCUCGCCUUGGUUUUCCGGAUGGGAAACUAUUUAUGAUCAUUUUAUCAUUCAGCAACAAUCUUUUUCUUACCCUGCACAAGUUAAAGAUCUUUGGAUACCGGGUCAAAAGAACUGGAAUGCAAACUUGAUUAAUUCUCUUUUCACUCCUGAAUUGGCUAAUACCAUUCUACAAACUCCUAUUAUUAAGGAAAAUGGUAAGGAUAUGUUGCUUUGGAAACUAACUCCUGCAGGUGAAUUCUCUUCCAAAAGUGCUUACAAGCACUGCUUCAACAAUCUUCAGCUUCCACCAAGGCAAAGGCCCAAAAUUGUCCCUAUGCAGGUCAUUUCCCUUCUUAAUCAGGUGUGGGAGGAUAAGCAAAUGGCACCAAGAGUUCAGACAUUUGCUUGGAGGCUUCUUAGAAAAGCACUUCCUACAGGUAAGAGGGCAGGUAGGUACUCCAAACAUAUCAAUGAAAACUGCUCUAGAUGUGGACUAUUAGAAGAUGAAAUGCAUAUGUUGUUUCUCUGUCCUUUUUCUAAAGCAGCAUGGUUUUGCUAUCCCUGGUUUAUUAAAACGGAAUCUCUGGCUGAAAAUUAUCAUUCUAUUCCUGAUAUGAUUCGUGCUUUGAUUACAUCUCAACAUCCAAAAAUAAGCUUGACUACUCUCUAUACUUUUCUAUGGUGUCUUUGGAAAGCUCGGAACGACUGUCUAUUUUGUAGCAAAUUAUGCAAGCCUUCCCAGGUGUAUGCUUCAGCAAAUGCAAUAAUUGAAGCAACCAAUUUAGAAGAUAAGAACUUUGCUCAGCAACAAGAAAGCGAUAAAGCUCAGGAGCAGUUGCAGGCUUCUUCAACAACCACGCAUACACAUGACUGUAAUAACCUUACAGGGAAUGUCAUCUUUUGCGACGCAGCCUGGGAGAGACGCACAGAUUCAGAGCUGGGCCAUGCUGGCUUAGGAGUAAUCAUCACCAUGCAAGACAAUCGGCACCUCCAACGACUACACGUCUCUGCGCUUUCGCCUCCAGUUUCAUCACCCCUCCAGGCUGAGACUUAUGGGCUGCUACUAGCUACUAAGUUAGCAGAUCUUCUGCAGGUUCAGAACCCUCACUUUUGCACCGACUGCUCGGUGUUAAUUUCGGCGGCAAGGUCAUCAACGGUAUUUGCUGCUCCAGGAUGUUGGGAGAACAGACCUCUCCUUGCAGAGAUCCAAGCCUCUCCCUCUAUUAGUCGUAACAAGAUCACUCACAUCAACAGAAGCAACAAUGUAAAAGCUGAUCAUCAAGCUCGAUUAGCUUUGCGGAUUCAGUCAAGGUCCUUAGCUCUUUGUUGCUUAUGUACACAAGCAGAUCAAGGUCAAUGUCCCGGAAAGGACAUAGUUUCUGGUUCUAGCAUGAGUCCCUUCAUGCUUCUUUCUGUAAAAUGCACCUGA